Molecule: long non-coding RNA, 1415 nt
Filed under: Homo sapiens (human)
Lineage: Eukaryota; Metazoa; Chordata; Mammalia; Primates; Hominidae
Description: long non-coding RNA NONHSAT209290.1
Source: RNAcentral
CCAGCAAACCUUUCCCUGCUGUGAGGUGGGCAAGUUAGUUGCUCCAAAAACAAGAUAAAAUGAUUGAGUUCUUUUCUCAAGCGGGAGUCGGAGUUUAUCUGCUCUGAGAGCCCCAGCAGCUACUAUUAAUGAGUGUCUGGAAUAUGUUCCUGGCAUUUCACCUACCCUCUCUCCAAUCCUUCCAAGAAACUCACAAAGCAGGGCUUUUUCUUGAACUUCUCUUCCUCACAACAGUUAAAUCAUCCAUUUAAAGAUGUCAAACAACCUCCGUGUUCUAAGCCAGACCAUCAACUUAACUUGUAAAACUACCAACUGUUGCUACACACAGGCAAAGGAAUUAAACUUGGUAGCUGAUCAUUUGAUUACAUCUAUCAGUCUACUGGAGGGCUUCAACGCAGAGUAGGUGGAAUUCAUGGUUCAAAUCAGAGUAUUAAUGGGAUCUGUUUGCACACCAAUACCUGAUCUCCUUGGCACAAAUACAGAGCUGAUUCUUAAAGCAUGUCCCCACAAUAAAGCUUUUCUUAAUCAUGAACUAUUUACUGAGCUCUACGGAGACACAGCUACAAGCACCAGAUGCUGGACCCCUGAAUAUGGAGGGCCAACUACACUAGAAACACACACGCUAGCUGAGAAAGAUGGUGGCUUAAGGGUAAGCAUGGAAAGAGGCAAGGAGGUGAGGACAGCAGGACUGAUAGAUAAGCUGGGGAGGCCAGAGCUCCACAAGGACAUCCAUUUCACUUAUCAGAAUCUAAAAAUAAACACGUUGAGAUACUAGAGAGAUCACCAGUUUGUAGUAGAGGCCCACUCUCGGAAGGUUUGGUAAAAAGUUGUUUUGAAUCAUAAUGUUGGCUUUAUUGGCAUGUUGAAACCAUUUACCUCUGUAAUUUUCCAUUUGUUUUCCUUUCCAACUACCACUCCUCCUGCCUGAUAAAUAAAUACCAUUGCAAGAUUGGACACAGCAUGUACAACCUCACAUAGAGUUCCUGACCAGACAAGACUUGCUGGAAAUUUCCCAGGAUCUUCCUUCCUUAAGAUGUCUCUGUGUUAGGAAAACUUGGAUAAGCAGGUCCAUAGAAAUUCCUCUGCUAGCCCUGUCUCCUGGAAUUUCUACAUAAUGGCAUAUCCUCAGUUUGAAUAGCUCUCUGGUUCCAGUUUGAAGCUGAAAAGGUUAAAUUCUACCUGAAGGAUGAAAACAACCAACAUUCUGUGCCAAGACAGUCAGGAGGGCAACCAUGUUUCCUGGUGGAGCCUCUGGAACCACUCAAGCCAAGAUGACCGGGGGUUUGGCUGGGAGGAGAUGGGGAAACUACAGACCCUACAGAUGGUUUCCUGUACCAUGAGGUUAAGCCUGGGGGCAGGAGAGGCUGUACCUUAGUUCCUUCAUCUGUAAAAUAAAGUAACAUAGUACCUACCUC